Molecule: ribosomal RNA, 1257 nt
Filed under: uncultured Acinetobacter sp.
Lineage: Bacteria; Pseudomonadati; Pseudomonadota; Gammaproteobacteria; Moraxellales; Moraxellaceae
Description: bacterial SSU rRNA
Rfam family: Bacterial small subunit ribosomal RNA
Source: RNAcentral
UAGCUUGCUACCUGACCUAGCGGCGGACGGGUGAGUAAUGCUUAGGAAUCUGCCUAUUAGUGGGGGACAACAUUCCGAAAGGAAUGCUAAUACCGCAUACGCCCUACGGGGGAAAGCAGGGGAUCUUCGGACCUUGCGCUAAUAGAUGAGCCUAAGUCAGAUUAGCUAGUUGGUGGGGUAAAGGCCUACCAAGGCGACGAUCUGUAGCGGGCCUGAGAGGAUGAUCCGCCACACUGGGACUGAGACACGGCCCAGACUCCUACGGGAGGCAGCAGUGGGGAAUAUUGGACAAUGGGCGAAAGCCUGAUCCAGCCAUGCCGCGUGUGUGAAGAAGGCUUUUUGGUUGUAAAGCACUUUAAGCGAGGAGGAGGCUACUUGGAUUAAUACUCUAGGAUAGUGGACGUUACUCGCAGAAUAAGCACCGGCUAACUCUGUGCCAGCAGCCGCGGUAAUACAGAGGGUGCGAGCGUUAAUCGGAUUUACUGGGCGUAAAGCGUGCGUAGGCGGCUUUUUAAGUCGGAUGUGAAAUCCCUGAGCUUAACUUAGGAAUUGCAUUCGAUACUGGGAAGCUAGAGUAUGGGAGAGGAUGGUAGAAUUCCAGGUGUAGCGGUGAAAUGCGUAGAGAUCUGGAGGAAUACCGAUGGCGAAGGCAGCCAUCUGGCCUAAUACUGACGCUGAGGUACGAAAGCAUGGGGAGCAAACAGGAUUAGAUACCCUGGUAGUCCAUGCCGUAAACGAUGUCUACUAGCCGUUGGGGCCUUUGAGGCUUUAGUGGCGCAGCUAACGCGAUAAGUAGACCGCCUGGGGAGUACGGUCGCAAGACUAAAACUCAAAUGAAUUGACGGGGGCCCGCACAAGCGGUGGAGCAUGUGGUUUAAUUCGAUGCAACGCGAAGAACCUUACCUGGUCUUGACAUAGUAAGAACUUUCCAGAGAUGGAUUGGUGCCUUCGGGAACUUACAUACAGGUGCUGCAUGGCUGUCGUCAGCUCGUGUCGUGAGAUGUUGGGUUAAGUCCCGCAACGAGCGCAACCCUUUUCCUUAUUUGCCAGCGGGUUAAGCCGGGAACUUUAAGGAUACUGCCAGUGACAAACUGGAGGAAGGCGGGGACGACGUCAAGUCAUCAUGGCCCUUACGACCAGGGCUACACACGUGCUACAAUGGUCAGUACAAAGGGUUGCUACCUAGCGAUAGGAUGCUAAUCUCAAAAAGCCGAUCGUAGUCCGGAUUGGAGUCUGCAACUCGACUCCAUGAAGUCG